ACGCUCGACACCUACGGGAGGCAGCAGUUGGGAAUAUUGGACAAUGGAGGAAACUCUGAUCCAGUGACGCCGCGUGAGGGAAGAAGGUCUUCGGAUUGUAAACUUAUUUUGUCAGGGAAGAAAAAUGACUGUACCUGAAGAAAAAGUACCGGCUAACUACGUGUCAGCAGCCGCGGUAAUCUGAGCGGGCUGGCAAGGC
Molecule: ribosomal RNA, 199 nt
Filed under: uncultured bacterium
Lineage: Bacteria
Description: partial 16S ribosomal RNA
Rfam family: Bacterial small subunit ribosomal RNA
Source: RNAcentral